This 30-nucleotide non-coding RNA is filed under the name Mus musculus (house mouse). The record is from RNAcentral. Lineage: Eukaryota; Metazoa; Chordata; Mammalia; Rodentia; Muridae.
UGCUGCCAGCCGUCACGAUUCUGGAUAGUC